AUGGUUACCGGAAACCUUACAAUAGCUAUUAAAAUAACCUACAGGAAGAAAAAUACCGUAUUUUAUUGAACUUCCGUUCCAUAAGUAUGGGAGGCAUUAUAUGUUACACAAUUGUGUUCCAUACAUUAAUCAGCAGGAAGCCUUUGGACACUAAUAACAAUCUGUUCGUAUAUUAUAUACAUAUAUACCCUGAAGCCAAUAAAUGACCAUGUCUACUGUGGACUAACAUGUCCAUAACCAGACGACUACGUAACCGGCCUACAGCUAUGGACCGUUUGUAAGGACCACUGGACUAUAUAAGAUCUCUCAAUGGAUUUCAAGGACAGAAUUCGAUUAGACGACAAUUCGAUUAGGACGGAUUGGUACAAGAGAUUGGUACCGGAGAUUCCGC
RNAcentral lists this long non-coding RNA (391 nucleotides) under Mytilus galloprovincialis (Mediterranean mussel). The record is from RNAcentral. Lineage: Eukaryota; Metazoa; Mollusca; Bivalvia; Mytilida; Mytilidae.